UUUGCAUUGUAGAUAGCCUAAUCUUCAGUAUAAUUUUACGAUGGUAUAUAUUUAUACUCAGCUCAUCUAUCAUGUACAGUUAAUGUCAAGUAAGGUGGGUGAGAAAAAUGCCGGUGCAGGACAAUUGAAGUGGAGGUGUGAUCGCUGCAUUGGGAUCAAUGAUUACUUAAGAGACAAAGGUUUGAUUUAGUUGAGGCAAUGGCAAGAGCAUAUUUUGUAGAGGAAGAUGAUGAACCUUAAUGCGCUGAACCUUGUAUACUAGAACCUUGCAGGUGUUUUUGCAGAAGUAUUUUAUUGUGCACAUGUAAAAUUAUGUUGAUGUGCCCUUGUUAGGCGUUGAACCUUAAUGCAUGGAGUCGGUGGAUGAUGUAUUGUAUUUGAUGUGAUAUGCUAUUGAAAUGAAAUA
Long non-coding RNA from Hordeum vulgare subsp. vulgare (domesticated barley), 406 nucleotides. RefSeq lists it as uncharacterized. The transcript has 3 exons. The record is from RefSeq and is a predicted model, not a curated record. NCBI's taxonomy places the organism in Eukaryota, Viridiplantae, Streptophyta, Magnoliopsida, Poales, Poaceae.